RNAcentral lists this ribosomal RNA (441 nucleotides) under uncultured bacterium. RNAcentral describes it as "partial 16S ribosomal RNA". It matches the Rfam family "Bacterial small subunit ribosomal RNA", at positions 338 to 795 of the family's 1533-position model. The record is from RNAcentral.
CCUACGGGGGGCAGCAGUGGGGAAUAUUGCACAAUGGGGGAAACCCUGAUGCAGCAACGCCGCGUGAAGGAAGACGGUUUUCGGAUUGUAAACUUCUGUUCUUAGUGAAGAAUAAUGACGGUAGCUAAGGAGCAAGCCACGGCUAACUACGUGCCAGCAGCCGCGGUAAUACGUAGGUGGCAAGCGUUGUCCGGAAUUACUGGGUGUAAAGGGAGCGCAGGCGGGAAGCCAAGUCAGAUGUGAAAACUACGGGCUUAACUUGUAGACUGCAGUUGAAACUGUGUUUCUUGAGUGCAGUAGAGGUAAGCGGAAUUCCGGGUGUAGCGGUGAAAUGCGAAGAUAUUCGGAGGAACACCAGUGGCGAAGGCGGACAGCUGGACUUUAACUGACGCUGAGGCUCGAAAGUGUGGGGAGCAAACAGGAUUAGAUACCCUAGUAGUC